CAAUAGCGUAUAUUAAAGUUGUUGCAGUUAAAAAGCUCGUAGUUGGAUUUCUGGGAGGGCGCCAAUGUCCGCUGUUGCGUGUGCAGCGGCGCCCUUCCAUCCUUCUGUUAACGUUUCUUGGUAUACAGUUACUGGUUUCGGGCUCAGAUAUUUUACCUUGAGAAAAUUAGAGUGUUUCAGGCAGGCUUGCGCCGGAAUACAUUAGCAUGGAAUAAUAGAAUAGGACUUUAGUCUCUCUUGUUGGUUUAGGGACUGAAGUAAUGAUUAAUAGGGAUAGUUGGGGGCAUUAGUAUUUAAUUGUCAGAGGUAAAAUUCUCGGAUUUGUUAAAGACUAACUUAUGCGAANGNAUUUGCNAAGGAUGUUUNCAUUA
RNAcentral lists this ribosomal RNA (371 nucleotides) under uncultured eukaryote. RNAcentral's name for it is "partial 18S ribosomal RNA". It matches the Rfam family "Eukaryotic small subunit ribosomal RNA", at positions 592 to 975 of the family's 1831-position model. The record is from RNAcentral.